RNAcentral lists this ribosomal RNA (433 nucleotides) under uncultured bacterium. RNAcentral describes it as "partial 16S ribosomal RNA". It matches the Rfam family "Bacterial small subunit ribosomal RNA", at positions 29 to 507 of the family's 1533-position model. The record is from RNAcentral.
AGUGAACGCUGGCGGCAGGCCUAACACAUGCAAGUCGAACGAACUCUUCGGAGUUAGUUGCGGUUGGGGGAGGAACACGUGGGAACGUGCCUUUAUGCUCGGAAUAAUUCAGUGACACUUGUGCUAACAUCGAAUGUGCUCUUCGGGUGCAAGAUACAUCGUCUUUGUAGCGGCCCGAGUUUUUCUAGCUGGUUGGGGAUGUAAAGGCGGAUCACGGCGACGAUCAGUAGCUGGUCUGAGAGGAUGGGCAGCCACAUUGGGACUAGGACACGGCCCAAACUCCUACGGGAGGCAGGCGAGGGGGAUCUUGCGAUAUCGGGGGGAGGCUGAAGGAGCCAUGCUGCGUGAAUGAUGAAGUUCGUAAAAAAGUAAAAUUCUUUCACCGGGGACGAUAAUGACGGUACCCGAAGAAGAAGCCCCGGCUAACUUCGUG